CUUGCAUUUAAAAACAAAAAAUUUUUUUUCACUGUUAUAGAUUGAAGGGCAGUUAAUUGUCUGCCAGCGGGUGUGUCAGGCUCACAGUGGAUACUGUGCCCAGUGCCACCACUCACUCACUGGUACCCGGACGAAAUUUAUUUUCACAAAAGGCAAUCCCCAACCUGUACUUGAUUGUGCAAAAGGAAAUAAUGGCAUGUCUGGCAUACAGUGUUGGGGCAAGGGUCCAUCUGACCACUGAUACCUGGUCUGCAAAGCAUGGUCAGGGCAGGUAUAUCACCUACACUGCACAUUGGGCAAACCUGCUGACGGCUGCCAAGCAUGG
Pelobates cultripes (western spadefoot toad) is the source of this 325-nucleotide non-coding RNA. The record is from the annotation of a GenBank genome assembly. Lineage: Eukaryota; Metazoa; Chordata; Amphibia; Anura; Pelobatidae.